Molecule: unclassified non-coding RNA, 343 nt
Filed under: uncultured Rhizophagus
Lineage: Eukaryota; Fungi; Glomeromycota; Glomeromycetes; Glomerales; Glomeraceae
Description: partial contains 5.8S ribosomal RNA, internal transcribed spacer 2, and large subunit ribosomal RNA
Rfam family: 5.8S ribosomal RNA (bases 1-96)
Source: RNAcentral
GUGCGAUAAGUAAUGUGAAUUGCAGAAUUCCGUGAAUCAUCGAAUCUUUGAACGCAAAUUGCACUCUCUUCGGAGAGUAUGCCUGUUUGAGGGUCAGUAUUAAUAAAAAUCGGCGUGUUGCUCUUUUGUGACGUUCCGGAGUUUGAGUUAUCUUAACUCUACUGGGUUUUAAGAGGCUUAAAAUUGACCUUUUUUGUGCAUUUUAGACGUACAUAAAUUUUUUUUUUUAUUCGUCUAUCUUUAAUGCCAAAAUCUAUUAGAUGCGACCAUAUCAUGUGGCUUCGUGUCCAUAAAUUUUUCAUGAUUUGACCUCAAAUCAGGUAAGAACACCCGCUGAACUUAA